Molecule: non-coding RNA, 262 nt
Organism: Arachis ipaensis
Lineage: Eukaryota; Viridiplantae; Streptophyta; Magnoliopsida; Fabales; Fabaceae
Source: RefSeq, a predicted model, not a curated record
GUCGCCGGAGAACUCUUCCGUUGAUCCACCGGAGCUUCUGGCCACCGCCGGAGCUGCUGCCGGGAUGGUUCAAAAUCGCAGCUGCUUCGUGUUGAAAUUCCGAGCUGUUUAUGCUGCUGCGAAAAUGUGUGGGGCUGUGCUUUGAAGCUGCCUUUGAUUUCGAGUUGAGGCGAAAAGAACUUAUGAGGCGUUUGGGUUAUGGAAUUUGCGUUUUGAGGUAGGGGCGCUUUCCAAAAACUAUGUUUUGUGUAUUGGAAUUAUU